Molecule: ribosomal RNA, 916 nt
Filed under: uncultured archaeon
Lineage: Archaea
Description: bacterial SSU rRNA
Rfam family: Archaeal small subunit ribosomal RNA
Source: RNAcentral
UUCCGGUUGAUCCUGCCGCCGGACACCGCUAUUGGAAUCCGCUUAAGCCAUGCGAGUCGAGAGGGUUUAGACCCUCGGCGCACUGCUCAGUAGCACGCGGACAACCUGUCCUCAAGAAGGGGAUAAUCCCGGGAAACUGGGAAUAAUACCCUAUAGCCGCUCCGUGAUGGAAGGCUAGGGCGGCGAAAGCUUCGGCGCUUGAGGGUGGGUCUGCGGCCUAUCAGGUAGUAGGGGGUGUUACGGACCCCCUAGCCUACGACGGGUACGGGCAUUGGGAGAUGUCGCCCGGAGAUGGGUUCUGAGACACGAACCCAGGUCCUACGGGGCGCAGCAGGCGCGAACACUGUGCAAUGCGCGAAAGCGCGACACGGGGAGCUUGAGUGUCUUGGCAUAGCCAAGACUUUUCUCAUUCCUAAAAAGCAUGAGGAAUAAGUGCUGGGUAAGACGGGUGCCAGCCGCCGCGGUAACACCCGCAGCACAAGUGGUGGUCACUUUUAUUGAGCCUAAAGCGUUCGUAGCCGGUUCUGUAAAUCUUUAGAUAAAGCCUGAAGCUUAACUCCAGAAAGUCUGAAGAGACUGCAAGACUUGAGAUCGGGUGAGGUUAAACGUACUUUCAGGGUAGGGGUAAAAUCCUGUAAUCCCGGAAGGACGACCAGUGGCGAAAGCGUUUAACUAGAACGAAUCUGACGGUAAGGAACGAAGGCUAGGGUAGCAAACCGGAUUAGAUACCCGGGUAGUCCUAGCUGUAAACACUGCCCAUUUGAUGUUGCUUUUCCGUUGAGGGAAGGCAGUGUCGGAGCGAAGGUGUUAAAUGGGCCGCUUGGGAAGUAUGGUCGCAAGACUGAAACUUAAAGGAAUUGGCGGGGGAGCACCGCAACGGGAGGAAUGUGCGGUUUAAUUGGAUUCAACGCCGGAA